RNAcentral lists this ribosomal RNA (250 nucleotides) under uncultured bacterium. RNAcentral describes it as "partial 16S ribosomal RNA". It matches the Rfam family "Bacterial small subunit ribosomal RNA", at positions 524 to 773 of the family's 1533-position model. The record is from RNAcentral.
UACGGAGGAUCCAAGCGUUAUCCGGAUUUAUUGGGUUUAAAGGGUGCGUAGGCGGCCUAUUAAGUCAGGGGUGAAAGACGGCAGCUUAACUGUCGCAGUGCCUUUGAUACUGAUGGGCUUGAAUCGCGUUGAAGAUGGCGGAAUGAGACAAGUAGCGGUGAAAUGCAUAGAUAUGUCUCAGAACACCGAUUGCGAAGGCAGCUGUCUAAGCGAUGAUUGACGCUGAUGCACGAAAGCGUGGGGAUCAAAC